This is a non-coding RNA of Hypoxylon cercidicola, 72 nucleotides long. The record is from the annotation of a GenBank genome assembly. NCBI's taxonomy places the organism in Eukaryota, Fungi, Ascomycota, Sordariomycetes, Xylariales, Hypoxylaceae.
UCCAGUAUAGUGUAAUGGCGAACAUACCUCGCUUUCGCCGAGGAGCUCAGGGUUCGAUUCCCCGUGCCGGAC